RNAcentral lists this ribosomal RNA (493 nucleotides) under uncultured bacterium. Its description in RNAcentral is "partial 16S ribosomal RNA". It matches the Rfam family "Bacterial small subunit ribosomal RNA", at positions 28 to 507 of the family's 1533-position model. The record is from RNAcentral.
GACGAACGCUGGCGGCGUGCUUAACACAUGCAAGUCGAACGGUGAAGGGACCGGUUUUUGCUGGUUCUGGAUGAGUGGCGAACGGGUGAGUAACACGUGAGUAACCUGCCCCCUUCUUCUGGAUAACCGCAUGAAAGUGUGGCUAAUACGGGAUAUUCUGCGCCUGCUGCAUGGUGGGUGUGGGAAAGAUAUUGUUUCGGUGGGGGAUGGGCUCGCGGCCUAUCAGCUUGUUGGUGGGGUGAUGGCCUACCAAGGCGGUGACGGGUAGCCGGCCUGAGAGGGUGGACGGUCACACUGGGAGUGAGACACGGCCCAGACUCAUACGGGGGGCAGCAGUGGGGAAUAUGGCACAAUGGGCGAAAGCCUGAUGCAGCGACGCCGCGUGAGGGAUGGAGGCCUUCGGGUUGUAAACCUCUUUCGCCAGUGAAGCAGGCCUGUCCCUUUUGUGGGUGGGUUGACGGUAGCUGGAUAAGAAGCGCCGGCUAACUACGUG